RNAcentral lists this ribosomal RNA (497 nucleotides) under uncultured bacterium. Its description in RNAcentral is "partial 16S ribosomal RNA". It matches the Rfam family "Bacterial small subunit ribosomal RNA", at positions 28 to 507 of the family's 1533-position model. The record is from RNAcentral.
GACGAACGCUGGCGGCGUGCCUAAUACAUGCAAGUAGAACGCUGAAGAGAGGAGCUUGCUCUUCUUGGAUGAGUUGCGAACGGGUGAGUAACGCGUAGGUAACCUGCCUUGUAGCGGGGGAUAACUAUUGGAAACGAUAGCUAAUACCGCAUAACAAUGGAUGACACAUGUCAUUUAUUUGAAAGGGGCAAUUGCUCCACUACAAGAUGGACCUGCGUUGUAUUAGCUAGUAGGUGAGGUAAUGGCUCACCUAGGCGACGAUACAUAGCCGACCUGAGAGGGUGAUCGGCCACACUGGGAAUGAGACACGGCCCAGACUCCUACGGGAGGCAGCAGUAGGGAAUCUUCGGCAAUGGGGGCAACCCUGACCGAGCAACGCCGCGUGAGUGAAGAAGGUUUUCGGAUCGUAAAGCUCUGUUGUAAGUCAAGAAAGGGUGUGAGAGUGGAAAGUUCACACUGUGACGGUAGCUUACCAGAAAGGGACGGCUAACUACGUG